AGCAGCCGCGGUAAUUCCAGCUCCAAUAGCGUAUAUUAAAGUUGUUGCAGUUAAAAAGCUCGUAGUUGAAUUUCGAGAUCAAAUUGUUGGUCGUGCCUUGGUACGUACUGGCAUUAUUGGUUUCUCCCUUCUGAAGAACCAUGGUGUCAUUAAUUUGGUGUCAUGGGGAAUCAGGACUGUUACUUUGAAAAAAUUAGAGUGUUUAAAGCAGGCUCGCGCUUGAAUACAUUAGCAUGGAAUAAUGAAAUAGGACGUUUAAUUCUAUUUUGUUGGUUUCUAGGAUUGACGUAAUGAUUAAUAGGGAUAGUUGGGGGCAUUAGUAUUCAAUUGUCAGAGGUGAAAUUCUUGGAUUUAUUGAAGACUAACUACUGCGAAAGCAUUUGCCAAGGAUGUUUUCAUUAAUCAAGAACGAAAGUUAGGGGAUCGAAGACGAUCAGAUACCGUCGUAGUCUUAACCAUAAACUAUGCCGACUAGGGAUCGGAUGAUGUUAAUUUUUUAAUGACUCAUUCGGCGCCUUACG
Molecule: ribosomal RNA, 521 nt
Filed under: uncultured Glomeraceae
Lineage: Eukaryota; Fungi; Glomeromycota; Glomeromycetes; Glomerales; Glomeraceae
Description: SSU rRNA
Rfam family: Eukaryotic small subunit ribosomal RNA
Source: RNAcentral